RNAcentral lists this ribosomal RNA (245 nucleotides) under uncultured bacterium. Its description in RNAcentral is "partial 16S ribosomal RNA". It matches the Rfam family "Bacterial small subunit ribosomal RNA", at positions 524 to 768 of the family's 1533-position model. The record is from RNAcentral.
UACGUAGGGGGCGAGCGUUGUCCGGAGUUACUGGGCGUAAAGGGCAUGCAGGCGGUGGGGCGCGUUUGGUGUGACAGCGGACGGCUUAACUGUCCGAGCAUACGAAAGACGGCCUCACUUGAGAGCGCGAGAGGGACACGGAAUUCCGGGUGGAGUGGUGAAAUGCGUAGAGAUCCGGAGGAACACCGAAGGCGAAGGCAGUGUCCUGGCGCGUAUCUGACGCUCAUGUGCGAAAGCCAGGGGAG